This 422-nucleotide long non-coding RNA is filed under the name Sorghum bicolor (sorghum). Its description in RNAcentral is "long non-coding RNA (SBIC_LNC003119)". The record is from RNAcentral. Lineage: Eukaryota; Viridiplantae; Streptophyta; Magnoliopsida; Poales; Poaceae.
GCAACGAAUAAUCCUGGUGUUAAGAUGGCCACUUGCUAUCCUGUAAGGGCGAGAAGAAGAAGUUCUCGUUAAUUGACCAUUACCAGUGGUCAGGACGAGCCCGCUUGGCAUGCCACAGGUAGCAGUGGAAUGAGCGUCCAGCGAUGCUCAUCGGACUUCUAAAGUGGUAGGAUCCCCGGCAUCGCCGUCAGAGGUCCUUAGGACAAUGACAGGUGUCGGUGGGCCCAAACACUUAGGGGGUUCUGCCACAAUAGUGAUAAAAGAAUAUGAUCCUGGAACCAAAGGGACUCUUGUUUCAGCUAGAUAGGAUAAUUUAGAUCUACACUACUACACAGCUGUUUAACCGUGACAGGCACUUUACGUUUACCGCAGCGGGCAUUGGCUUCCGCCACGAAUGAAAGGUCACGGUUAAUCAUGGCCUC